Long non-coding RNA from Aphis gossypii (cotton aphid), 445 nucleotides. RefSeq lists it as uncharacterized. NCBI's taxonomy places the organism in Eukaryota, Metazoa, Arthropoda, Insecta, Hemiptera, Aphididae. The transcript is spliced from 3 exons. The record is from RefSeq and is a predicted model, not a curated record.
GCGAUGGGCAGUGACUAUCCGAAAAAAAAACAUUAUCAGUCAUUCCAUUAUUUAUAAUUAUAUUAAUACUGAUUUUAAUUUUAAUUCAUUUUUUUCUUUAUUUCAUUGUCAGAAAUAUUGAAAAUGGCUAAUAUUGCUAAAAAGCUGAUUAAAAGUAGUUAAUUUUUUUUUUCAAAUGUAAGAAAGUUUUUACCGGGCAUUUAAAAUAACACUCUUUUAAAAUCAAUGGAUGUAUCUAGAUCGCUUAAAAUUUGCAAUGUGGGUUUUUCCCCAGAAUACUACUAUUAUAAUAUAACGACAUAGCGUUAACACUUAAUCCAUACAAAGUGGAAUUAGAUAUAUAUAUAUAUUUUAUUAAAAGAAUACUUACAAUGCAACAUGGCCUCAAGUUUUUUUCUGUCGACUUUGAAUCGUUCCUUGGCCAAAUCAUCGGCCGAUUCUAAUC